GGCCGGUUGGCCCAAUGGUAAGGCGUCUGACUACGAUUGGUUGCUCUCCAAGGAGAUCAGCUGGUAAUCAGGAGAUUCUGGGUUCGAGCCCCAGGCUGGUCA
This 102-nucleotide transfer RNA is filed under the name Moesziomyces antarcticus T-34. It matches the Rfam family "tRNA". Rfam says of the family: Transfer RNA (tRNA) molecules are approximately 80 nucleotides in length. The record is from Rfam by way of RNAcentral. Lineage: Eukaryota; Fungi; Basidiomycota; Ustilaginomycetes; Ustilaginales; Ustilaginaceae.